Molecule: transfer RNA, 73 nt
Filed under: Bos taurus (domestic cattle)
Lineage: Eukaryota; Metazoa; Chordata; Mammalia; Artiodactyla; Bovidae
Also listed under: 4 other names
Rfam family: tRNA
About the family: Transfer RNA (tRNA) molecules are approximately 80 nucleotides in length. Their secondary structure includes four short double-helical elements and three loops (D, anti-codon, and T loops).
Source: Rfam by way of RNAcentral
UGCCUGGUGGUCCAGUGGCUAAGACUCUGCACUCCCAAUGCAGGGGGUCUGGGUUCAAUCCCUGGUCAGGGAA